AACUAACGCUGGCGGCGUGCCUAACACAUGCAAGUCGUACGAGAAAGCCGGCUUCGGCUGGUGAGUAAAGUGGCGCACGGGUGAGUAACGCGUGGAUAAUCUGCCCUUAAGUGUGGAAUAACGUACCGAAAAGGUGCGCUAAUACCGCAUAAUGCCUGGCAACACAAGUUGUCCGGCCAAAGAAGGCCUCUGUUUACAAGCUUUCGCUUCAGGAUGAGUCCGCGUACCAUUAGCUUGUUGGUGGGGUAAUGGCCUACCAAGGCUGCGAUGGUUAGCUGGUCUGAGAGGAUGAUCAGCCACACUGGAACUGAGACACGGUCCAGACUCCUACGGGAGGCAGCAGUGAGGAAUAUUGGUCAAUGGGCGGAAGCCUGAACCAGCCAUGCCGCGUGCAGGAUGACGGCCCUACGGGUUGUAAACUGCUUUUCCCCGGGGCGAAUAACCCCCUCGCGAAGGGGGAUGCCGGUACCGGGGGAAUAAGGAUCGGCUAACUCCGUG
RNAcentral lists this ribosomal RNA (498 nucleotides) under uncultured bacterium. Its description in RNAcentral is "bacterial SSU rRNA". It matches the Rfam family "Bacterial small subunit ribosomal RNA", at positions 29 to 507 of the family's 1533-position model. The record is from RNAcentral.